Frieseomelitta varia is the source of this 709-nucleotide long non-coding RNA. RefSeq lists it as uncharacterized. The record is from RefSeq and is a predicted model, not a curated record. The transcript has 3 exons. NCBI's taxonomy places the organism in Eukaryota, Metazoa, Arthropoda, Insecta, Hymenoptera, Apidae.
CGUCAGAGGCGAUUGAGCGGAAGUCGAGCCGGCAGGCAGAAGGAAAUCGCGAAACGAGGAGCGGUGUUCGAUGUGUUUCGGACAAACGGAGCGGGUGAACGCGUGGGUGUUUUGUACUGUCGAAGCGACGCAAUAGCCAUCCGCGGAAUUGAACGUUUAACGUCAGACUGAAGGCCUUCUGGCUGGCAUACACACCUUUGCCAAAGGAAGAGGAACGAGUCGAGUCUGCGCCGUUUGCACGUGGACGCGGAUCUAGAGCGUCAAGAAACGAAAAGUCACCGGCUAAGAACAGGAGGACCCUGCCAAAAAUCUAUACACGGUGUGUCUGAAAAAUUCCAGGCCCGAGUAAAAAGCCGGGAAUAGAUUUUCCAGCUGACCCUCCGAACCACGUAUCGUUGCGAAUCGGUCAAACUUUGCAUCCGAUACUGUGGCUCUACCGAAAGGAAAGAAGAGAUGAAAAUGAUGAGAAAUUGAAGUGACGUAGACUGGUAGAUUAUUUUGAAAAUUCGGACAUAUCUUGGAAUUGUUUGUGGAAGAUAAUUUCGGAAAUCACACUGGUGAAGAUAAGGUUGUCCGAUCAGUCUGUAUAUCAGCGAUGAAAUGUUAGAAUAAAUUGUUGGAUAUGUAUAUACACACGUGAAAUACAGAACGGCAAAUGAUGAUGUCUCAAGGCUAUUGGAAUAUACCAACAACGGUACAACUUUUACAU